UACGGAGGAUCCGAGCGUUAUCCGGAUUCAUUGGGUUUAAAGGGUGCGUAGGUUGUUUUAUAAGUUAGCGGUGAAAUACCGAUGCUCAACAUCGGGGCUGCCUCUAAUACUGUUGGACUAGAGAAUAGUUGCGGUAGGCGGAAUGUAUGGUGUAGCGGUGAAAUGCUUAGAGAUCAUACAGAACACCGAUUGCGAAGGCAGCUUACCAAACUAUAUCUGACGUUGAGGCACGAAAGCGUGGGUAGCAAACAGG
Molecule: ribosomal RNA, 253 nt
Filed under: uncultured Rikenellaceae bacterium
Lineage: Bacteria; Pseudomonadati; Bacteroidota; Bacteroidia; Bacteroidales; Rikenellaceae
Description: partial 16S ribosomal RNA
Rfam family: Bacterial small subunit ribosomal RNA
Source: RNAcentral